This 581-nucleotide long non-coding RNA is filed under the name Homo sapiens (human). RNAcentral's name for it is "HSALNT0298295". Lineage: Eukaryota; Metazoa; Chordata; Mammalia; Primates; Hominidae. The record is from RNAcentral.
UACUUUGGGGUCAAGUUUGAGGCAGUUGUAACUGUACUGAGUUUAGUUUUGCUAAUAAUGGUAUUCUACGUGUGUCAGCCUCGUGUGGACUUCUGUAAUGACUAAUGGAUAUGUUUAUAUCCUGAGCAUUUGCUGUAGGAAUUUUAAAUGCAAUCCCAAAACUCAAGAUUACCUUAUUUGGAGAAAUAUUCGUGUUACUAUGUUUAAAAUUUAAUAGAACCAUAUUUUACCUUUCACUUUGGGACUCGCACAGGAUGUUUGCAGCUCUUGAUAUACAGGAACUAGAACGUGUCUUUUAAGAGCAUGCGGUUUUAUAAUUACGUGGAAGUAUGCUACGCAAGGGAAAAAAGCCUCUUGCUAGUGUUAAGGGUCUUCAUAAACAGAAACCGCAAGGAACCUGGGAUCUGACAGCUGUUGGAGGAAUGCCUGUGAGGAAGGAGGAGGAACAGAAGUUAUGUUCACCUUGUCUCUGCCUCAGCUUCCUGGUGCAACUGUAGCCAGAAGAGGAGAGAGAAGAGGACAUUGGAGUGCACGAGAAGAAUAUAUUAUAAAAGAAUAUUGCUUGAUUAAAAAGCAUUUUU